Molecule: ribosomal RNA, 528 nt
Filed under: uncultured bacterium
Lineage: Bacteria
Description: bacterial SSU rRNA
Rfam family: Bacterial small subunit ribosomal RNA
Source: RNAcentral
CAGGGAAUCUUGUCCAAUGGGCGAAAGCCUGAGACAGCGACGCCGCGUGAGGGAUGAAGGCCUUCGGGUUGUAAACCUCUUUCAGGAGGGACGAAAUUGACGGUACCUCCAGAAGAAGCCCCGGCCAACUACGUGCCAGCAGCCGCGGUAAUACGUAGGGGGCAAGCGUUGUCCGGAUUUAUUGGGCGUAAAGGGCUCGUAGGCGGCUCAACAAGUCGAUCGUGAAAACCCAGGGCUCAACCCUGGGACGCCGGUCGAUACUGUUGUGGCUUGGGUCCGGUAGAGGAGAAUGGAAUUCCCGGUGUAGCGGUGAAAUGCGCAGAUAUCGGGAGGAACACCAGUAGCGAAGGCGGUUCUCUGGGCCGGUACCGACGCUGAGGAGCGAAAGCGUGGGGAGCAAACAGGAUUAGAUACCCUGGUAGUCCACGCUGUAAACGUUGGACACUAGGUGUGGCGGAUUUAUCAACGUCUGCUGUGCCGUAGCUAACGCGUUAAGUGUCCCGCCUGGGGAGUACGGCCGCAAGGCUA